Molecule: non-coding RNA, 26 nt
Filed under: Rattus norvegicus (Norway rat)
Lineage: Eukaryota; Metazoa; Chordata; Mammalia; Rodentia; Muridae
Source: RNAcentral
UGAAGCACCUGCUCUGAAUACUGAGG